CGAAAGCCUGAUGCAGCAACGCCGCGUGUGCGAUGAAGGCCUUACGGGGUCGUAAAAGCACUUUUCUGAGAGAUGAGCAAGGACAGUAUCUCAGGAAUAAGUCUCGGCUAACUACGUGCCAGCAGCCGCGGUAAAACGUAGGAGGCAAGCGUUAUCCGGAUUCACUGGGCGUAAAGCGCGUGCAGGCGGUUCGGUAAGUGGGUAUGAAAUCUCCUGGCUUAACUAGGAGAGGUUAUCCAAUACUACCGGACUUGAGAGUGGUAGAGGAAGAUGGAAUUCCCGGUGUAGUGGUGAAAUGCGUAGAUAUCGGGAGGAACACCAGUGGCGAAAGCGAUCUUCUGGACCAUUUCUGACGCUCAGACGCGAAAGCUAGGGUAGUAAACGGGAUUAGAGACCCCGGUAAUCCUAGCCGUAAACGAUGUAAACUUGGCGUCGGUGGCUUAAACACCAUCGGUGCCGCAGCUAACGCGAUAAGUUUACCGCCUGGGGACUACGAUCGCAAGAUUAAAACUCAAAGGAAUUGACGGGGG
RNAcentral lists this ribosomal RNA (530 nucleotides) under uncultured bacterium. RNAcentral's name for it is "bacterial SSU rRNA". It matches the Rfam family "Bacterial small subunit ribosomal RNA", at positions 376 to 919 of the family's 1533-position model. The record is from RNAcentral.